GGUAGUCCACGCCCUAAACGAUGUCAACUAGCUGUUGGGGCCUUCGGGCCUUGGUAGCGCAGCUAACGCGUGAAGUUGACCGCCUGGGGAGUACGGUCGCAAGAUUAAAACUCAAAGGAAUUGACGGGGACCCGCACAAGCGGUGGAUGAUGUGGAUUAAUUCGAUGCAACGCGAAAAACCUUACCUACCCUUGACAUGUCUGGAAUCCCAAAGAGAUUGGGGAGUGCUCGCAAGAGAACCGGAACACAGGUGCUGCAUGGCUGUCGUCAGCUCGUGUCGUGAGAUGUUGGGUUAAGUCCCGCAACGAGCGCAACCCUUGUCAUUAGUUGCUACGAAAGGGCACUCUAAUGAGACUGCCGGUGACAAACCGGAGGAAGGUGGGGAUGACGUCAAGUCCUCAUGGCCCUUAUGGGUAGGGCUUCACACGUCAUACAAUGGUCGGGACAGAGGGUCGCCAACCCGCGAGGGGGAGCCAAUCCCAGAAACCCGAUCGUAGUCCGGAUCGUAGUCUGCAACUCGACUACGUGAAGUCGGAAUCGCUAGUAAUCGCGGAUCAGAAUGUCGCGGUGAAUACGUUCCCGGGUCUUGUACACACCGCCCGUCACACCAUGGGAGUGGGUUCCACCAGAAGUAGUUAGCCUAACCGCAAGGAGGGCGAUUACCACGGCGGGGUUCAUGACUGGGGUGAAGUCGUAACAAGGUAGCCGUAUCGGAAGGUGC
RNAcentral lists this ribosomal RNA (721 nucleotides) under uncultured bacterium. RNAcentral describes it as "bacterial SSU rRNA". It matches the Rfam family "Bacterial small subunit ribosomal RNA", at positions 789 to 1515 of the family's 1533-position model. The record is from RNAcentral.